CCAGACUCCUACGGGAGGCAGCAGUGAGGAAUAUUGGUCAAUGGGCUUACGCCUGAACCAGCCAAGUCGCGUGAGGGAAGACUGCCCUAUGGGCUGUAAACCUCUUUUGUCAGGGAGCAAUUGGCGCUACGUGUAGCGUUAUCGAGAGUACCUGAAGAAAAAGCAUCGGCUAACUCCGUGCCAGCAGCCGCGGUAAUACGGAGGAUGCGAGCGUUAUCCGGAUUUAUUGGGUUUAAAGGGUGCGUAGGCGGAAUGCCAAGUCAGCGGUAAAAUCGCGGGGCUCAACCUCGCUCCGCCGUUGAAACUGGCGUUCUUGAGUGGGCGAGAAGUAUGCGGAAUGCGUGGUGUAGCGGUGAAAUGCUUAGAUAUCACGAAGAACUCCGAUUGCGAAGGCAGCAUACGGCAGCGCUACUGACGCUGAAGCUCGAAGGCGCGGGUAUCGAACAGGAUUAGAUACCCCGGUAU
RNAcentral lists this ribosomal RNA (465 nucleotides) under uncultured bacterium. RNAcentral's name for it is "bacterial SSU rRNA". It matches the Rfam family "Bacterial small subunit ribosomal RNA", at positions 331 to 793 of the family's 1533-position model. The record is from RNAcentral.